Molecule: ribosomal RNA, 455 nt
Filed under: uncultured bacterium
Lineage: Bacteria
Description: bacterial SSU rRNA
Rfam family: Bacterial small subunit ribosomal RNA
Source: RNAcentral
GCACAAGCGGUGGAGCAUGUGGUUCAAUUCGACGCAACGCGAAGAACCUUACCUGGGCUCGAACGGCUGGCCAACGGCGCUGGAAACAAUGCUACCCCGCAAGGGGGUCCAGUCGAGGUGCUGCAUGGCUGUCGUCAGCUCGUGUCGUGAGAUGUUGGGUUAAGUCCCGCAACGAGCGCAACCCUCGUCCUGUGUUGCAACCCGCAAGGGGCACUCGCAGGAGACCGCCAGCGAUAAGCUGGAGGAAGGUGGGGAUGACGUCAAGUCCUCAUGGCCUUUAUGUCCAGGGCUACACACGUGCUACAAUGGCCGGUACAAAGCGCUGCAAACCCGCGAGGGGGAGCCAAUCGCAAAAAACCGGUCUCAGUUCGGAUUGCAGGCUGCAACUCGCCUGCAUGAAGCUGGAAUCGCUAGUAAUGGCAGAUCAGCACGCUGCGGUGAAUACGUUCCCGGGC